GAGAGGUAACGGCUCACCAAGGCAUCGACGGGUAGCUGGUCUGAGAGGAUGAUCAGCCACACUGGAACUGAGACACGGUCCAGACUCCUACGGGAGGCAGCAGUGGGGAAUCUUGCACAAUGGGCGAAAGCCUGAUGCAGCGAUGCCGCGUGCGGGAAGAAGGCCCUAGGGUUGUAAACCGCUUUCAGGAGGGAAGAAAAUGACGGUACCUCCAGAAGAAGGUGCGGCCAACUACGUGCCAGCAGCCGCGGUAACACGUAGGCACCAAGCGUUAUCCGGAUUUAUUGGGCGUAAAGAGCUCGUAGGCGGUUCAGUCAGUCGGGUGUGAAAACUUGAGGCUUAACCUCAAGAGGUCACUCGAUACUACUGUGACUAGAGUGCGGUAGGGGAGCGGGGAAUUCCUGGUGUAGCGGUGAAAUGCGCAGAUAUCAGGAGGAACACCAGUGGCGAAGGCGCCGCUCUGGGCCGUAACUGACGCUGAGGAGCGAAAGCAUGGGUAGCAAACAGGAUUAGAUACCCUGGUAGUCCAUGCCGUAAACGUUGGGCACUAGGUGUGGGUCUCAACCAACGAGAUCCGCGCCGUCGCUAACGCAUUAAGUG
Molecule: ribosomal RNA, 600 nt
Filed under: uncultured Actinomycetes bacterium
Lineage: Bacteria; Bacillati; Actinomycetota; Actinomycetes
Description: bacterial SSU rRNA
Rfam family: Bacterial small subunit ribosomal RNA
Source: RNAcentral